Molecule: ribosomal RNA, 253 nt
Filed under: uncultured bacterium
Lineage: Bacteria
Description: partial 16S ribosomal RNA
Rfam family: Bacterial small subunit ribosomal RNA
Source: RNAcentral
UACGUAGGGUGCAAGCGUUGUCCGGAAUUAUUGGGCGUAAAGAGCGUGUAGGCGGCCAGACAGGUCCGUUGUGAAAACUCGAGGCUCAACCUCGAGACGCCGAUGGAAACCGUCUGGCUAGAGUCCGGAAGAGGAGAGUGGAAUUCCUGGUGUAGCGGUGAAAUGCGCAGAUAUCAGGAAGAACACCCGUGGCUAAGGCGGCUCUCUAGUACGGUACUGACGCUGAGACGCGAAAGCGUGGGGAGCGAACAGG